UACGUAGGCAGCAAGCGUUGUCCGGAUUUAUUGGGUUUAAAGGGUGCGUAGGCGGUCGAUUAAGUCAGUGGUGAAAUACUUCAGCUCAACUGGAGAGGUGCCAUUGAUACUGGUUGACUUGAGUACUGAUGAGGUAGGCGGAAUGGACGGUGUAGCGGUGAAAUGCUUAGAUAUCGUCCAGAACACCGAUAGCGAAGGCAGCUUACUAAGGAGUGACUGACGCUGAGGCACGAAAGUGUGGGGAUCAAACAGG
Molecule: ribosomal RNA, 253 nt
Filed under: uncultured bacterium
Lineage: Bacteria
Description: partial 16S ribosomal RNA
Rfam family: Bacterial small subunit ribosomal RNA
Source: RNAcentral